GAUGAACGCUAGCGAUAGGCUUAACACAUGCAAGUCGAGGGGCAGCACAAGGUAGCUUGCUAUCUGGGUGGCGACCGGCGCACGGGUGCGUAACGCGUAUGCAACUUGCCCUAUACAGGAGGAUAACCCGUCGAAAGACGGACUAAUACUGCGUAUGCUCACAACUUGGCAUCAAGUGGUGAGGAAAGAAAUUCGGUAUAGGAUAGGCAUGCGUCCCAUUAGCUUGUUGGUGAGGUAACGGCCCACCAAGGCAACGAUGGGUAGGGGAACUGAGAGGUUUGUCCCCCACACUGGUACUGAGACACGGACCAGACUCCUACGGGAGGCAGCAGUGAGGAAUAUUGGUCAAUGGGCGCGAGCCUGAACCAGCCAAGUCGCGUGAAGGAUGACUGUCUUAUGGAUUGUAAACUUCUUUUAUGCGGGAAUAACAAGAGUCACGUGUGACUCCCUGCAUGUACCGUAUGAAUAAGCAUCGGCUAACUCCGUG
This 487-nucleotide ribosomal RNA is filed under the name uncultured bacterium. RNAcentral's name for it is "partial 16S ribosomal RNA". It matches the Rfam family "Bacterial small subunit ribosomal RNA", at positions 28 to 507 of the family's 1533-position model. The record is from RNAcentral.